This is a long non-coding RNA of Oncorhynchus tshawytscha (Chinook salmon), 892 nucleotides long. Lineage: Eukaryota; Metazoa; Chordata; Actinopteri; Salmoniformes; Salmonidae. The record is from Ensembl.
CACACACCAGUCUCUACCUACAGAGAACAAACUACCAUGGACCAGGGGAAUCACACACCAGUCUCUACCUACAGAGAACAGUCUGAAUGACUCAAACUACCAGAACAACUAAAUGAAACUUGAGCGUUACACCUGUGGAAUGGUAUCAGGAAGGCUACCGUGUAUAACUAACUAUACAAUACUGCACAGCUUUUCAACAGUGAUGUGUUCUUUUUUAGCAACACAAUAGGGAUCUUUAAGGGACACAAUAAGAUGACCGUAUAUCACGGUCUCGUUCAUUGACCGCUGGUCUAGAAAUCAACAGUUCUGGAGAAAACAGGCUGUGCGGAUUCCAUCAACAGCAGGGACUGACCCGUAACAGGGUGUCAUCAUGGUGACUCCAGCCACAGCCCAGGCCUCAAUAAACACUCUAUAAUGUAGUGCUGCAGUAACAGAGCCCUGUUCCCCCUCUGCUGUCUCCUCUCUUCCACUGCACUGUGUGGAACGGACACACACCCACCCACCCUGUCACUGUCAAUUACCCCUGUUCCAGAGAUCAGUUCCGGACUCCAUCAAGCCACUGAUCAGCCGUGUUAGUUAGGUGAGUGACAUGGUGUGUUUGUGCGAGUGCCUGCGCAAGUGUCUAUGAGGAGUGACGUGUUGCUAACGCAGGCCAGCCAGGGUGACUCCCCUGGCAACAUAACGUCUGUGUCCGCAGGACAGCCUGUUCCCUAUUAAGUGUACUAUGUAGAGAAUAGGUAGCCAUUUGGAUCAGAAACUUGUCUUCACAAGGACUCAAAUAUAGUAGGGGAGGACAGGGAUAGGUUGGGCUUAAUGGCAUAUGUUUUUGUCCAAGGAAAACAACGGUACAUGAAUCUCCUGCCGCACAUAGCCCUGAUCUGUCCCUUUAGUC